GGUUAAGCGACUAAGCGUACACGGUGGAUGCCCUGGCAGUCAGAGGCGAUGAAGGGCGUGCUAAUCUGCGAUAAGCGCCGGUAAGGUGAUAUGAACCGUUAUAACCGGCGAUACCCGAAUGGGGAAACCCAGUGUGAUUCGUCACACUAUCAUUAACUGAAUCCAUAGGUUAAUGAGGCGAACCGGGGGAACUGAAACAUCUAAGUACCCCGAGGAAAAGAAAUCAACCGAGAUUCCCCCAGUAGCGGCGAGCGAACGGGGAGGAGCCCAGAGCCUGAAUCAGCAUGUGUGUUAGUGGAAGCGUCUGGAAAGGCGCGCGAUACAGGGUGACAGCCCCGUACACAAAAGCGCAUGUGCUGUGAGCUCGAUGAGUAGGGCGGGACACGUGGUAUCCUGUCUGAAUAUGGGGGGACCAUCCUCCAAGGCUAAAUACUCCUGACUGACCGAUAGUGAACCAGUACCGUGAGGGAAAGGCGAAAAGAACCCCGGCGAGGGGAGUGAAAAAGAACCUGAAACCGUGUACGUACAAGCAGUGGGAGCCCCACCACUAAGCCAGUGGUGAACUCCACAUCCGCAUCCUUUGCUGAGGAUACGGUUAACGGAGCGAAAGCGACGUUCAACCGCAAAACAAGCAGAGGGGGCUUAGUGGUGGGGUGACUGCGUACCUUUUGUAUAAUGGGUCAGCGACUUAUAUUCUGUAGCAAGGUUAACCGAAUAGGGGAGCCGGAGGGAAACCGAGUCUUAAUUGGGCGUUAAGUUGCAGGGUAUAGACCCGAAACCCGGUGAUCUAGCCAUGGGCAGGUUGAAGGUUGGGUAACACUAACUGGAGGACCGAACCGACUAAUGUUGAAAAAUUAGCGGAUGACCUGUGGCUGGGGGUGAAAGGCCAAUCAAACCGGGAGAUAGCUGGUUCUCCCCGAAAGCUAUUUAGGUAGCGCCUCGUGAAUUCAUCUCCGGGGGUAGAGCACUGUUUCGGCUAGGGGGCCAUCCCGGCUUACCAACCCGAUGCAAACUGCGAAUACCGGAGAAUGUUAUCACGGGAGACACACGGCGGGUGCUAACGUCCGUCGUGAAGAGGGAAACAACCCAGACCGCCAGCUAAGGUCCCAAAGUCAUGGUUAAGUGGGAAACGAUGUGGGAAGGCCCAGACAGCCAGGAUGUUGGCUUAGAAGCAGCCAUCAUUUAAAGAAAGCGUAAUAGCUCACUGGUCGAGUCGGCCUGCGCGGAAGAUGUAACGGGGCUAAACCAUGCACCGAAGCUGCGGCAGCGACGCUGAUGCGUUGUUGGGUAGGGGAGCGUUCUGUAAGCCUGCGAAGGUGACCUGUGAGGGUUGCUGGAGGUAUCAGAAGUGCGAAUGCUGACAUAAGUAACGAUAAAGCGGGUGAAAAGCCCGCUCGCCGGAAGACCAAGGGUUCCUGUCCAACGUUAAUCGGGGCAGGGUGAGUCGACCCCUAAGGCGAGGCCGAAAGGCGUAGUCGAUGGGAAACGGGUUAAUAUUCCCGUACUUGGUGUUACUGCGAAGGGGGGACGGAGAAGGCUAUGUUGGCCGGGCGACGGUUGUCCCGGUUUAAGCGUGUAGGUGUGUGUUCCAGGUAAAUCCGGUUCACUUUAACACUGAGGCGUGACGACGAGGCACUACGGUGCUGAAGCAACAAAUGCCCUGCUUCCAGGAAAAGCCUCUAAGCAUCAGGUAACAUCAAAUCGUACCCCAAACCGACACAGGUGGUCAGGUAGAGAAUACCAAGGCGCUUGAGAGAACUCGGGUGAAGGAACUAGGCAAAAUGGUGCCGUAACUUCGGGAGAAGGCACGCUGACACGUAGGUGAAGUGAUUUACUCAUGGAGCUGAAGUCAGUCGAAGAUACCAGCUGGCUGCAACUGUUUAUUAAAAACACAGCACUGUGCAAACACGAAAGUGGACGUAUACGGUGUGACGCCUGCCCGGUGCCGGAAGGUUAAUUGAUGGGGUCAGCGCAAGCGAAGCUCCUGAUCGAAGCCCCGGUAAACGGCGGCCGUAACUAUAACGGUCCUAAGGUAGCGAAAUUCCUUGUCGGGUAAGUUCCGACCUGCACGAAUGGCGUAAUGAUGGCCAGGCUGUCUCCACCCGAGACUCAGUGAAAUUGAACUCGCUGUGAAGAUGCAGUGUACCCGCGGCAAGACGGAAAGACCCCGUGAACCUUUACUAUAGCUUGACACUGAACAUUGAGCCUUGAUGUGUAGGAUAGGUGGGAGGCUUUGAAGUGUGGACGCCAGUCUGCAUGGAGCCGACCUUGAAAUACCACCCUUUAAUGUUUGAUGUUCUAACGUGGACCCGUAAUCCGGGUUGCGGACAGUGUCUGGUGGGUAGUUUGACUGGGGCGGUCUCCUCCUAAAGAGUAACGGAGGAGCACGAAGGUUGGCUAAUCCUGGUCGGACAUCAGGAGGUUAGUGCAAUGGCAUAAGCCAGCUUGACUGCGAGCGUGACGGCGCGAGCAGGUGCGAAAGCAGGUCAUAGUGAUCCGGUGGUUCUGAAUGGAAGGGCCAUCGCUCAACGGAUAAAAGGUACUCCGGGGAUAACAGGCUGAUACCGCCCAAGAGUUCAUAUCGACGGCGGUGUUUGGCACCUCGAUGUCGGCUCAUCACAUCCUGGGGCUGAAGUAGGUCCCAAGGGUAUGGCUGUUCGCCAUUUAAAGUGGUACGCGAGCUGGGUUUAGAACGUCGUGAGACAGUUCGGUCCCUAUCUGCCGUGGGCGCUGGAGAACUGAGGGGGGCUGCUCCUAGUACGAGAGGACCGGAGUGGACGCAUCACUGGUGUUCGGGUUGUCAUGCCAAUGGCACUGCCCGGUAGCUAAAUGCGGAAGAGAUAAGUGCUGAAAGCAUCUAAGCACGAAACUUGCCCCGAGAUGAGUUCUCCCUGAGACUUUAGGUCUCCUGAAGGAACGUUGAAGACGACGACGUUGAUAGGCCGGGUGUGUAAGCGCAGCGAUGCGUUGAGCUAACCGGUACUAAUGAACCGUGAGGCUUAACCUU
RNAcentral lists this ribosomal RNA (3007 nucleotides) under Salmonella enterica subsp. enterica serovar Typhimurium. Its description in RNAcentral is "23S ribosomal RNA". It matches the Rfam family "Bacterial large subunit ribosomal RNA". Lineage: Bacteria; Pseudomonadati; Pseudomonadota; Gammaproteobacteria; Enterobacterales; Enterobacteriaceae. The record is from RNAcentral.